RNAcentral lists this ribosomal RNA (2179 nucleotides) under Eudioctria albius. RNAcentral describes it as "eukaryotic LSU rRNA". It matches the Rfam family "Eukaryotic large subunit ribosomal RNA", at positions 44 to 1897 of the family's 3401-position model. Lineage: Eukaryota; Metazoa; Arthropoda; Insecta; Diptera; Asilidae. The record is from RNAcentral.
UAAUGAGGGAAGGAAAAGAAACUAACUAGGAUUUUCUUAGUAGCGGCGAGCGAAAAGAAAAUUAGUUCAGCACUAAGUUAUUUUGUUAUUUUAGCAAAUAUAAGAUGCAGUGUAUGGAAUAUCUAUAAUCUAGUAUGAUAAAUUAACAGUCUAAGUCCUUCUUAAAUGAGGCCAUUUACCCAUAGAGGGUGCCAGGCCCGUAAUGACGUUAAUGAUUACUAGAAGGUAUUUCUUAAGAGUCGUGUUGCUUGAUAGUGCAGCACUAAUUUGGUGGUAAACUCCAUCUAAAACUAAAUAUAACCAUGAGACCGAUAGCAAACAAGUACCGUGAGGGAAAGUUGAAAAGAACUCUGAAUAGAGAGUUAAAUAGUACGUGAAACUGCUUAGAGGUUAAACCCGAUGAACCUGAAUAUCUAAUAUGAAAAAUUCAUUGUUAAUAAUACAUUAUUAAUAUAUAAUGUAAAAAUAAUGUGCAAUUUUUUCAUAUAUGGACAUUGUAAUCUGUUAAUAUAUAAUAAAUUUAUCAGAAGUGCUGUUUGGCUAAGCUUAUAUUUUAAUUAUAUAAAAAUUAAUUUUUUUUUAUAAUUAGUAUAAAAUCCAAUUUAAAUAUGGUUACAGAUAAAUUAUUGACAGAUUUUAUAUACAAUAUAUAACGCUUACAUAUUUUUAUGUUAUAGUAAUAAUAAUAAUUUAUUUAUUAUAUAUACUAUAUGCGUUUAUAUGAUUAACAAUGCUAUAGAUUUAGGAUACCUUCGGGACCCGUCUUGAAACACGGACCAAGGAGUCUAACAUGUGUGCAAGUCAUUGGGUAUAUAAAACCUAAAGGCGUAAUUAACUUAACUGUUAUAAAAUGGGAUCAAUUAUAUAUAUAUUAAAUUAUAUUAUAUUCCAUCCCGGGGCGUUCUAUAUAGUUAUGUAUUUUAAUUAUAUAUCUUGUAUAUGUAUAAAAAGACCUCUAACUAGAGCGUACCUUGAGCAUAUAUGUUGUGACCCGAAAGAUGGUGAACUAUACUUGAUCAGGUUGAAGUCAGGGGAAACCCUGAUGGAAGACCGAAGCAGUUCUGACGUGCAAAUCGAUUGUCAGAGUUGAGUAUAGGGGCGAAAGACCAAUCGAACCAUCUAGUAGCUGGUUCCCUCCGAAGUUUCCCUCAGGAUAGCUGGUGCAUAUAAAUAUUAUUUAAAAUAAUCUUAUCUGGUAAAGCGAAUGAUUAGAGGCAUUAGGGCCGAAACGACCUUAACCUAUUCUCAAACUUUAAAUGGGUAAGAACCUAACCUUUCUUGAUAUGAAGGUUAGGUUAUGAUAUAUUGUGCCCAGUGGGCCACUUUUGGUAAGCAGAACUGGCGCUGUGGGAUGAACCAAACGUAAUGUUAAGGCGCCAAAAUUAACAACUCAUACUGAUACCAUGAAAGGCGUUGGUUGCUUAAAACAGCAGGACGGUGGACAUGGAAGUCGUAAUCCGCUAAGGAGUGUGUAACAACUCACCUGCCGAAGCAACUAGCCCUUAAAAUGGAUGGCGCUCAAGUUGUAUGCCUAUACAUUACCGCUGAAAUAUAUGAUUUAUAAAUUAUAUAAUUUAUAAAUUUUGAAGUUUUAGUGAGUAGGAGGGUACAAUGGUGUGCGUAGAAGUGUUUGGUGUAAACCUGCAUGGAGCCGCCAUUGGUACAGAUCUUGGUGGUAGUAGCAAAUAAUCGAAUGAGACCUUGGAGGACUGAAGUGGAGAAGGGUUUCGUGUGAACAGUGGUUGAUCACGAGUUAGUCGGUCCUAAGUUCUAGGCGAAAGUCGAAAAAUUUUUUAAGUUACAAAUAUGCAAUGCAAUAUAUGAUAUACUUAAAUAUUUUUGAACGAAAGGGAAUACGGUUCCAAUUCCGUAACCUGUUGAGUAUACGUUUGUUAUUAAAAAUGGGCUUUUAUGCUCAUCCUGGUAACAGAAACAACCAUAAAGAAGCCGUCGAGAAAUAUCGAAAGAGUUUUCUUUUCUGUUUCAUAGUCGUACUACCAUGGAAGUCUUUCGAAGAGAGAUAUGGUAGAUGGACUAGAAGAGCAUGGCAUUUACUGCUGUGUCGAUAUUUUCUCCUCGGACCUUGAAAAUUUAUGGUGGGGUCACGCAAACUUCUUAACAGGCCGUACCGAUAUCCGCAGCUGGUCUCCAAGGUGAAGAGUCUCUAGUCGAUAGAAUA